CGAACGCUGGCGGCGUGCCUAAUACAUGCAAGUCGAGCGGACAGAAGGGAGCUUGCUCCCGGAUGUUAGCGGCGGACGGGUGAGUAACACGUGGGUAACCUGCCUGUAAGACUGGGAUAACUCCGGGAAACCGGAGCUAAUACCGGAUAGUUCCUUGAACCGCAUGGUUCAAGGAUGAAAGACGGUUUCGGCUGUCACUUACAGAUGGACCCGCGGCGCAUUAGCUAGUUGGUGGGGUAAUGGCUCACCAAGGCGACGAUGCGUAGCCGACCUGAGAGGGUGAUCGGCCACACUGGGACUGAGACACGGCCCAGACUCCUACGGGAGGCAGCAGUAGGGAAUCUUCCGCAAUGGACGAAAGUCUGACGGAGCAACGCCGCGUGAGUGAUGAAGGUUUUCGGAUCGUAAAGCUCUGUUGUUAGGGAAGAACAAGUGCGAGAGUAACUGCUCGCACCUUGACGGUACCUAACCAGAAAGCCACGGCUAACUACGUGCCAGCAGCCGCGGUAAUACGUAGGUGGCAAGCGUUGUCCGGAAUUAUUGGGCGUAAAGGGCUCGCAGGCGGUUUCUUAAGUCUGAUGUGAAAGCCCCCGGCUCAACCGGGGAGGGUCAUUGGAAACUGGGAAACUUGAGUGCAGAAGAGGAGAGUGGAAUUCCACGUGUAGCGGUGAAAUGCGUAGAGAUGUGGAGGAACACCAGUGGCGAAGGCGACUCUCUGGUCUGUAACUGACGCUGAGGAGCGAAAGCGUGGGGAGCGAACAGGAUUAGAUACCCUGGUAGUCCACGCCGUAAACGAUGAGUGCUAAGUGUUAGGGGGUUUCCGCCCCUUAGUGCUGCAGCUAACGCAUAAGCACUCCGC
RNAcentral lists this ribosomal RNA (859 nucleotides) under Bacillus safensis. Its description in RNAcentral is "bacterial SSU rRNA". It matches the Rfam family "Bacterial small subunit ribosomal RNA", at positions 30 to 872 of the family's 1533-position model. The record is from RNAcentral. Lineage: Bacteria; Bacillati; Bacillota; Bacilli; Caryophanales; Bacillaceae.